This 468-nucleotide ribosomal RNA is filed under the name uncultured bacterium. Its description in RNAcentral is "partial 16S ribosomal RNA". It matches the Rfam family "Bacterial small subunit ribosomal RNA", at positions 28 to 507 of the family's 1533-position model. The record is from RNAcentral.
GACGAACGCUGGCGGCGUGCUUAACACAUGCAAGUCGAACGGAAAGGCCCUGCUUUUGUGGGGUGCUCGAGUGGCGAACGGGUGAGUAACACGUGAGUAACCUGCCCUUGACUUUGGGAUAACUUCAGGAAACUGGGGCUAAUACCGGAUAGGAGCUCCUGCUGCAUGGUGGGGGUUGGAAAGUUUCGGCGGUUGGGGAUGGACUCGCGGCUUAUCAGCUUGUUGGUGGGGUAGUGGCUUACCAAGGCUUUGACGGGUAGCCGGCCUGAGAGGGUGACCGGCCACAUUGGGACUGGGAUAGGGCCCAGACUCCUACGGGAGGCAGCAGUGGGGAAUAUUGCACAAUGGGCGGAAGCCUGAGGCAGCAACGCCGCGUGCGGGAUGACGGCCUUCGGGUUGUAAACCGCUUUCGCAUGUGACGAAGCGUGAGUGACGGUAAUUGGUAAAGAAGCACCGGCUAACUACGUG